This 75-nucleotide transfer RNA is filed under the name Verrucomicrobiota bacterium. RNAcentral's name for it is "Verrucomicrobia bacterium tRNA-Met". It matches the Rfam family "tRNA". From Rfam's summary of the family: Transfer RNA (tRNA) molecules are approximately 80 nucleotides in length. Their secondary structure includes four short double-helical elements and three loops (D, anti-codon, and T loops). Further hydrogen bonds mediate the characteristic L-shaped molecular structure. tRNAs have two regions of fundamental functional importance: the anti-codon, which is responsible for specific mRNA codon recognition, and the 3' end, to which the tRNAs corresponding amino acid is attached (by aminoacyl-tRNA synthetases). tRNAs cope with the degeneracy of the genetic code in two manners: having more than one tRNA (with a specific anti-codon) for a particular amino acid; and 'wobble' base-pairing, i.e. permitting non-standard base-pairing at the 3rd anti-codon position. Lineage: Bacteria; Pseudomonadati; Verrucomicrobiota. RNAcentral also lists the same sequence under 1 other name. The record is from RNAcentral.
GCCAGUGUAGCUCAGUGGUAGAGCAGAGGACUCAUAAGCCUUUGGUCGCAGGUUCAAAUCCCGCCACUGGCACCA